UCGGUUGCCAAAGAUGUCUAUUUCCAGUUACUCAUGUUCGUCUGUAUGUCUUGUUAUGUUGAUGUAGCUCAGAUCCUCAGAUCGUGGAUUUGGUAUCAAGUUCAGGGCUCUG
Ipomoea nil (Japanese morning glory) is the source of this 112-nucleotide long non-coding RNA. RefSeq lists it as uncharacterized. NCBI's taxonomy places the organism in Eukaryota, Viridiplantae, Streptophyta, Magnoliopsida, Solanales, Convolvulaceae. The record is from RefSeq and is a predicted model, not a curated record. The transcript has 2 exons.